GUAUGGGUAGUCGAAGGACAUGCGAAAGGUCCGGCGUAGAGGGUAAGACCCCCGUAGACGAAACCUGUACGGCUCGCUUGAGCUUCUCCCAAGUAGCACGGGGCCCGAGAAAUCCCGUGUGAAUCUGGCGGGACCACCCGCUAAGCCUAAAUAUUCCCUGGUGACCGAUAGCGGAUAGUACCGUGAGGGAAUGGUGAAAAGUACCGCGGGAGCGGAGUGAAAUAGUACCUGAAACCGUGUGCCUACAAGCCGUGGGGGCAGCCUUCGGGCUGUGACUGCGUGCCUUUUGAAGAAUGAGCCUGCGAGUUUGCGGUGUGUAGCGAGGUUAACCCGUGUGGGGUAGCCGUAGCGAAAGCGAGUCCGAAUAGGGCGUCUGAGUUGCAUGCCCAAGACCCGAAGCGGAGUGAUCUAGCCAUGGGCAGGUUGAAGCGCGGGUAAGACCGUGUGGAGGACCGAACCCACCAGGGUUGAAAACCUGGGGGAUGACCUGUGGUUAGGGGUGAAAGGCCAAUCAAACUCCGUGAUAGCUGGUUCUCCCCGAAAUGCAUUUAGGUGCAGCGUCGCGUGUUUCUUGCCGGAGGUAGAGCACUGGAUAGGCGAUGGGCCUUACCGGGUUACUGACCUUAGCCAAACUCCGAAUGCCGGUAAGUGAGAGCGCGGCAGUGAGACUGUGGGGGAUAAGCUCCAUGGUCGAGAGGGAAACAGCCCAGAACACCGACUAAGGUCCCUAAGCGUGUGCUAAGUGGGAAAGGAUGUGGAGUCGCAGAGACAACCAGGAGGUUGGCUUAGAAGCAGCCACCCUUGAAAGAGUGCGUAAUAGCUCACUGGUCAAGUGAUUCCGCGCCGACAAUGUAGCGGGGCUCAAGCACACCACCGAAGUCGUGUCAUUGCAGCAAUACUCCCAACGGAGGCUGUGAUGGGUAGGGGAGCGUCGUGUGCCGGGUGAAGCAGCCGAGGAAUCGAGUUGUGGACGGUUCACGAGUGAGAAUGCAGGCAUGAGUAGCGAUACAAGAGUGGGAAACUCUUGCGCCGAUUGACCAAGGGUUCCUGGGUCAAGCUGAUCUGCCCAGGGUAAGUCGGGACCUAAGGCGAGGCCGACAGGCGUAGUCGAUGGACAACGGGUUGAUAUUCCCGUACCCGCUUU
This 1144-nucleotide ribosomal RNA is filed under the name Kitasatospora phosalacinea. Its description in RNAcentral is "partial 23S ribosomal RNA". It matches the Rfam family "Bacterial large subunit ribosomal RNA", at positions 323 to 1451 of the family's 2925-position model. Lineage: Bacteria; Bacillati; Actinomycetota; Actinomycetes; Kitasatosporales; Streptomycetaceae. The record is from RNAcentral.